CUUCAGUAACAACCACCUGAAAAAAGGGAUAGAGCCUGAGAGAUCAAAGAUACGUUUCUGUUCUGACGAUCUCGAUUCCAUCUUCUAACCAGGGACUUUUGGAGAGGCUAGCGCAAAAUGUUUGGAAUUGUGAGGCAAAAGGCAACCUGCGGACGCAAUUGUGCUUCGAAAUUGGUUCGAAGAAUUCCGGAGAUUGCGUUGAGAGCAUCGUCUUCAUCUGCUCGGGAGAUGACUGUUCGUGAUGCUUUGAAUUCAGCAAUGGAUGAAGAAUUGUCUGCUGAUCCUAAUGUUUUCAUAAUGGGUGAAGAGGUAUCUUGGAAG
Long non-coding RNA from Andrographis paniculata, 321 nucleotides. RefSeq lists it as uncharacterized. The record is from RefSeq and is a predicted model, not a curated record. The transcript is spliced from 4 exons. NCBI's taxonomy places the organism in Eukaryota, Viridiplantae, Streptophyta, Magnoliopsida, Lamiales, Acanthaceae.